This 339-nucleotide unclassified non-coding RNA is filed under the name soil metagenome. RNAcentral describes it as "partial contains 5.8S ribosomal RNA, internal transcribed spacer 2, and large subunit ribosomal RNA". The stretch from base 1 to 120 matches the Rfam family "5.8S ribosomal RNA", at positions 35 to 154 of the family's 154-position model. The record is from RNAcentral.
GAUGAGGAACGUAGCGAAAUGCGAUAAGUAAUGUGAAUUGCAGAAUUCCGUGAAUCAUCGAAUCUUUGAACGCACAUUGCGCCCCCUGGUAUUCCGGGGGGCAUGCCUGUCCGAGCGUCAUUGCAACCCUCAAGCGCGGCUUGUGUGUUGGGCUUCGUCCCCCCGUGGACGUGCCCGAAAGGCAGUGGCGGCGUCCCGAAUGGUGCCCGAGCGUAUGGGAACUCUCUUCCGCUCGAACCGGCCCAUUCGGCGCUGGUCGGACCCCAAUUUUUUUUUACCGGUUGACCUCGGAUCAGGUAGGGAUACCCGCUGAACUUAAGCAUAUCAAUAAGCGGAGGA